Molecule: ribosomal RNA, 527 nt
Filed under: uncultured Chitinophagaceae bacterium
Lineage: Bacteria; Pseudomonadati; Bacteroidota; Chitinophagia; Chitinophagales; Chitinophagaceae
Description: bacterial SSU rRNA
Rfam family: Bacterial small subunit ribosomal RNA
Source: RNAcentral
AGAGUUUGAUCCUGGCUCAGGAUGAACGCUAGCGGCAGGCUUAAUACAUGCAAGUCGAGGGGCAGCAUGACCGUAGCAAUACGGUUGAUGGCGACCGGCAAACGGGUGCGGAACACGUACACAACCUUCCUUUAAGCGGGGAAUAGCCCGGGGAAACCCGGAUUAAUACUCCAUAGUAUAUUGAAGAGGCAUCUCUUUACUAUUAAAGAUUUAUCACUUGAAGAUGGGUGUGCGGCUGAUUAGCUAGUUGGAGGGGUAACGGCCCACCAAGGCAACGAUCAGUAACUGGUGUGAGAGCACGACCAGUCACACGGGCACUGAGACACGGGCCCGACUCCUACGGGAGGCAGCAGUAAGGAAUAUUGGUCAAUGGACGCAAGUCUGAACCAGCCAUGCCGCGUGGAGGAUGAAGGUCCUCUGGAUUGUAAACUUCUUUUAUCUGGGACAAAAAAAGGUUUUUCUAGACCGACUGACGGUACCAGAUGAAUAAGCACCGGCUAACUCCGUGCCAGCAGCCGCGGUAAUAC